CAAGAGCCGGUCACUGUCAUUAACCUCACGUUAGGAUAUGGGAAUACCAGCGUUGA
The sequence is a small RNA, 56 nucleotides long. It matches the Rfam family "Transposase-1 RNA". From Rfam's summary of the family: Lactobacillales (Firmicutes). Environment (Human Microbiome Project, vagina) The record is from Rfam.